GAUGAACGCUGGCGGCGUGCCUAAUACAUGCAAGUUGAGCGAACAGACGAGGGGCUUGCUCCUCUGACGUUAGCGGCGGACGGGUGAGUAACACGUGGAUAACCUACCUAUAAGACUGGGAUAACUUCGGGAAACCGGAGCUAAUACCGGAUAAUAUAUUGAACCGCAUGGUUCAAUAGUGAAAGACGGUUUUGCUGUCACUUAUAGAUGGAUCCGCGCCGCAUUAGCUAGUUGGUAAGGUAACGGCUUACCAAGGCAACGAUGCGUAGCCGACCUGAGAGGGUGAUCGGCCACACUGGAACUGAGACACGGUCCAGACUCCUACGGGAGGCAGCAGUAGGGAAUCUUCCGCAAUGGGCGAAAGCCUGACGGAGCAACGCCGCGUGAGUGAUGAAGGUCUUCGGAUCGUAAAACUCUGUUAUUAGGGAAGAACAAAUGUGUAAGUAACUAUGCACGUCUUGACGGUACCUAAUCAGAAAGCCACGGCUAACUACGUG
This 497-nucleotide ribosomal RNA is filed under the name uncultured bacterium. Its description in RNAcentral is "partial 16S ribosomal RNA". It matches the Rfam family "Bacterial small subunit ribosomal RNA", at positions 28 to 507 of the family's 1533-position model. The record is from RNAcentral.